GGGCCCGCACAAGCGGAGGAACAUGUGGUUUAAUUCGAUGAUACGCGAGGAACCUUACCCGGGCUUGAAUUGCAGAGGAAUAUGCCUAAGAGGGCAUAGCCGCAAGGUCUCUGUGAAGGUGCUGCAUGGUUGUCGUCAGCUCGUGCCGUGAGGUGUCGGCUUAAGUGCCAUAACGAGCGCAACCCUUAUCUUCAGUUACCAGCGAGUAAUGUCGGGGACUCUGGAGAGACUGCCGUCGUAAGAUGUGAGGAAGGUGGGGAUGACGUCAAAUCAGCACGGCCCUUACGUCCGGGGCUACACACGUGUUACAAUGGGGGGUACAGAAGGCAGCGGCCGCGCGAGCGGUAGCUAAUCCCGAAAGCCCCUCUCAGUUCGGACUGGAGUCUGCAACCCGACUCCACGAAGCUGGAUUCGCUAGUAAUCGCGCAUCAGCCAUGGCGCGGUGAAUACGUUCCCGGGCCUU
This 463-nucleotide ribosomal RNA is filed under the name uncultured bacterium. Its description in RNAcentral is "bacterial SSU rRNA". It matches the Rfam family "Bacterial small subunit ribosomal RNA", at positions 917 to 1382 of the family's 1533-position model. The record is from RNAcentral.